Molecule: non-coding RNA, 169 nt
Organism: Zea mays
Lineage: Eukaryota; Viridiplantae; Streptophyta; Magnoliopsida; Poales; Poaceae
Source: Rfam
AUACCUUUCUCGGCCUUUUGACUAAGAUAAGGUGUAAUAUUUGUUCCUAUCAGUUUAAAUGUUUAAUAUCUGAUAUAUGGAUCAUAUGUUCACUUUGAUAUUAAAUUUAUUUUUUAUGGGUAUCAAAUAUGAUUGUGUGCCGUCGCAAAGCACAUGCAUUGUACUAAUU